AGUGAACGCUGGCGGUAGGCCUAACACAUGCAAGUCGAACGGCAGCACAGUAAGAGCUUGCUCUUACGGGUGGCGAGUGGCGGACGGGUGAGGAAUACAUCGGCAUCUACUUUUUCGUGGGGGAUAGCGUAGGGAAACUUACGCUAAUACAGCAUAUGACCUACGGGUGAAAGCAGGGGAUCUUCGCACCUUGCGCGAUUGAAUGAGCCGAUGUCGCAUUAGCUAGUUGGCGGGGUAAAGGCCCACCAAGGCGACGAUACGUAGCUGGUCUGAGAGGAUGAUCAGCCACACUGGAACUGAGACACGGUCCAGACUCCUACGGGAGGCAGCAGUGGGGAAUAUUGGACAAUGGGCGCAAGCCUGAUCCAGCCAUACCGCGUGGGUGAAGAAGGCCUUCGGGUUGUAAAGCCCUUUUGUUGGGAAAGAAAAGCAGCAGGUUAAUACCCCGCUGUUCUGACGGUACCCAAAGAAUAAGCACCGGCUAACUUCGUG
Molecule: ribosomal RNA, 492 nt
Filed under: uncultured bacterium
Lineage: Bacteria
Description: partial 16S ribosomal RNA
Rfam family: Bacterial small subunit ribosomal RNA
Source: RNAcentral